This 29-nucleotide non-coding RNA is filed under the name Mus musculus (house mouse). The record is from RNAcentral. Lineage: Eukaryota; Metazoa; Chordata; Mammalia; Rodentia; Muridae.
UGCAAAUAGCAGGUGGCUGCUUUUGUUCC